This is a long non-coding RNA of Syngnathus acus (greater pipefish), 794 nucleotides long. RefSeq lists it as uncharacterized. The record is from RefSeq and is a predicted model, not a curated record. Lineage: Eukaryota; Metazoa; Chordata; Actinopteri; Syngnathiformes; Syngnathidae. The transcript has 5 exons.
UGAACAGCGGAACUCCGGAAGUCAAUCGCCUCGGAACUCAACAUAUUCGGUUUUCAACGCGAACUGUCUUUGUCCCGGUUCUCGGGCAAAACUUCGGAAACCGAUCCGACUCACGUGGCUAUUGUAAACUAAAUACAGUUCGUUCCACCUGCUGCUAGUCAGCGUUGGUUGGGAUAAUUGUUUGGCCGUUUGUAGACCACUGCAAGGCUGGACACGGGUCCCAAGAAAGAUCCGGGAGAAAAGCGAAAUAGGUUCAUUUUGAAGCAAUAGAGAGUGAUGACCAGCCGACGCCCCCCUGCACCUCCUCCAUAGAUUCAGCACCUCAAUGUCAAGCUCUUGAGGACUCCGAGGCCCGAACAAGUGGCAACGCUGCAUGAGGAGCCACUUGGGGAACAAGUCUAGUGUGCUAAUCUUCACACUCCAACGACCUAUUCUGCGUUCAAGUCAACUAUGAGAAAUGAGAAGAAUGAGAUUGAAGAACAGAUUGGCUGUCUCCAGGCAGCCAGCCAGCUAGCGUUCCCCAUAUGGCCUCUGAGGUGCCCAGUGAUGGCCGCUGUGCCUUCACUUAUGGAUUGCAGCGAAAAAGAUGAGUUCCACAUCCAGCUCGCUAUGCUUUUUUUGCCUCCAUCUGUGCUCUAAUCGCCUGGACGCCAUCCCGAGUCAAGCCAGUCAAGUGACAUGGAAUCAAUAGAGUCCAACUCGAAGGGGGCAAAGACAUCAUUGAGGUUCAUUGAAAGCCAGAGCGUGCUUCUCCAAAGCUUCCAGGAAAUGUUUGUUAUUAUAUAAUAUGAGUA